CCUACGGGUGGCAGCAGUGAGGAAUAUUGGACAAUGGGGGAAAUCCUGAUCCAGCCAAGCCGCGUGAGUGAAGAAGUCAUUCGGUAUUGAAAGCUCUAUCAGCAGGGAAGAAAAUGACGGUACCUGUGUAAGAAUCCCCGGCUAACUACGUACCAGCACCCGAGGUAAUGCGGAGGGGGCAACGGUUAUCCGGAUUUACUGGGUGUAAAGGGAGCGUAGACGGUAGGGUAAGUCUGUAGGGAAAGGGGGGGGUUCAAACCCCGGAGGGCUCUGGAAACUGUAAGGCUGGAGUGCAGGAGAGGUAAGCGGAAUUCGUGGUGUAGCGGUGAAAUGCGUAGAUAUUAGGAGGAACACCAGUGGCGAAGGCGGCUUACUGGACUGUAACUGACGGUGAGGCACGAAAGCGUGGGGAGCAAACAGGAUUAGAUACCCCUGUAGUC
Molecule: ribosomal RNA, 440 nt
Filed under: uncultured bacterium
Lineage: Bacteria
Description: partial 16S ribosomal RNA
Rfam family: Bacterial small subunit ribosomal RNA
Source: RNAcentral